UUAAAUGUAGUCAUCAAAGAAGAAAGGUGAAUUAAAAUGAAGUUUUAAUUCACUAAGUGAUUGAUUUAAAUAUAAUCAAUUGGAUUGAUGCCAAUCACCUCACUGUCUUGCUAAUUAGAACCUAAAAUGAUUGUACACCGAUACACUCUUGUAAUGAGUAAUUAAUGGAUGAUGGAAAUAAUUAAUUGGAUUAAUUAAUUGUUGUGAUUAAUUUAGAAAGUCUAAAGAAAUCAUAAAAGCGAUAAAGAUCGUUUUGGGCUUAAAGAAACGUUCGGGUUUAAUUGGGCCCAUUGGGCUUUUAUUCAAGCAUUGGAUGACUUGAAAUAAAUGAAAGCCCAAAGCCCAAACAACACAAAGAGGGCCGGCCACUUUAAGGUGAAGAGCGUGAGAUAUUUAGUCAAGUUGUUGACUAGGUUUCUUUUGUCUAUAUAAGGAACUUUAUAGAGAUAUUGUUCAUUAGGGUUUUUGUGUGUUUAAAACAACAAAAAGGCAAAAGAAAUAUCUCUCUAAAACACAUCAAAGGCCGGCCACCUUGGGGUGAUUUUACUAACACAUCUUUCACCCUUUGGUUAUUCCUUCAUCCUUCUCACUACACUAGUGGGUGAGGAUCUUUAGAGGUUUUCAACUUUGGAAACUUGAAGAGAACCUAGGAGCACUCAUUCUUUCAAAGUGGAGGAGGCAAGGAGGGAAG
This 691-nucleotide long non-coding RNA is filed under the name Malus domestica (apple). Its description in RNAcentral is "long non-coding RNA (MDOM_LNC020054)". The record is from RNAcentral. Lineage: Eukaryota; Viridiplantae; Streptophyta; Magnoliopsida; Rosales; Rosaceae.